Dermacentor silvarum is the source of this 1119-nucleotide long non-coding RNA. RefSeq lists it as uncharacterized. NCBI's taxonomy places the organism in Eukaryota, Metazoa, Arthropoda, Arachnida, Ixodida, Ixodidae. The transcript is spliced from 3 exons. The record is from RefSeq and is a predicted model, not a curated record.
GCAGUCGGUGGCGAAGUAGUCACCGAGUACUCAUCGCCACGUUCAUUGUCUUGGCAGGUGCUGCUUUAGCCGCCGUGAAAUAACCUGGAGCAAGCUUCUGCGGCUGCGCAAUUCUUCGUCCCAAGCAUGGCCCGAGUAUUCAACUGGAAGGUUUAGGCGGUGUUCCUGAUUGCCCGCUAAGCUGCUCUCCAAAGUGGCCGCUGCUAGCUUCGACAUCGCACCGAACCGUGGCGCCUGGAUCCUUUAUCGGACUAUAAAAGACGAUUCGCUUCGAAUCAACAGUGCUCCGCAGUCGGUGGCGAAGUAGUCACCGAGUACUCAUCGUCACGUUCAUUGUCUUGGCAGGUGCUGCUUUAGCCGCCGUGAAAUAACCUGGAGCAAGCUUCUGCGGCUGCGCAAUUCUUCGUCCCAAGCAUGGCCCGAGUAUUCAACUGGAAGGUUUAGGCGGUGUUCCUGAUUGCCCGCUAAGCUGCUCUCCAAAGUGGCCGCUGCUAGCUUCGACAUCGCACCGAACCGUGGCGCCUGGAUCCUUUAUCGGACUAUAAAAGACGAUUCGCUUCGAAUCAACAGUGCUCCGCAGUCGGUGGCGAAGUAGUCACCGAGUACUCAUCGUCACGUUCAUUGUCUUGGCAGGUGCUGCUUUAGCCGCCGUGAAAUAACCUGGAGCAAGCUUCUGCGGCUGCGCAAUUCUUCGUCCCAAGCAUGGCCCGAGUAUUCAACUGGAAGGUUUAGGCGGUGUUCCUGAUUGCCCGCUAAGCUGCUCUCCAAAGUGGCCGCUGCUAGCUUCGACAUCGCACCGAACCGUGGCGCCUGGAUCCUUUAUCGGACUAUAAAAGACGAUUCGCUUCGAAUCAACAGUGCUCCGCAGUCGGUGGCGAAGUAGUCACCGAGUACUCAUCGUCACGUUCAUUGUCUUGGCAGGUGCUGCUUUAGCCGCCGUGAAAUAACCUGGAGCAAGCUUCUGCGGCUGCGCAAUUCUUCGUCCCAAGCAUGGCCCGAGUAUUCAACUGGAAGGUUUAGGCGGUGUUCCUGAUUGCCCGCUAAGCUGCUCUCCAAAGUGGCCGCUGCUAGCUUCGACAUCGCACCGAACCGUGGCGCCUGGAUCCUUUAUCGGACUAU